AUUGAACGCUGGCGGCAGGCCUAACACAUGCAAGUCGAACGGUAACAGGAAGCAGCUUGCUGCUUUGCUGACGAGUGGCGGACGGGUGAGUAAUGUCUGGGAAACUGCCCGAUGGAGGGGGAUAACUACUGGAAACGGUUGCUAAUACCGCAUAACGUCGCAAGACCAAAGAGGGGGACCUUAGGGCCUCUUGCCAUCGGAUAUGCCCAGAUGGGAUUAGCUAGUAGGUGGGGUAACGGCUCACCUAGGCGACGAUCCGUAGCUGGUCUGAGAGGAUGAGCAGCCACACUGGAACUGAGACACGGUCCAGACUCCUACGGGAGGCAGCAGUGGGGAAUAUUGGACAAUGGGCGCAAGCCUGAUGCAGCCAUGCCGCGUGUAUGAAGAAGGCCUUCGGGUUGUAAAGUACUUUCAGCGGGGAGGAAGAGCGUAAGGUUAAUACCUUGCCUGAUUGACGGUACCCGCAGAAGAAGCACCGGCUAACUUCGUG
Molecule: ribosomal RNA, 490 nt
Filed under: uncultured bacterium
Lineage: Bacteria
Description: partial 16S ribosomal RNA
Rfam family: Bacterial small subunit ribosomal RNA
Source: RNAcentral